RNAcentral lists this ribosomal RNA (1045 nucleotides) under Neomicrosphaeropsis italica. RNAcentral's name for it is "SSU rRNA". It matches the Rfam family "Eukaryotic small subunit ribosomal RNA", at positions 62 to 1115 of the family's 1831-position model. The record is from RNAcentral. Lineage: Eukaryota; Fungi; Ascomycota; Dothideomycetes; Pleosporales; Didymellaceae.
AGUAUAAGCAAUUAUACCGUGAAACUGCGAAUGGCUCAUUAAAUCAGUUAUCGUUUAUUUGAUAGUACCUUACUACUUGGAUAACCGUGGUAAUUCUAGAGCUAAUACAUGCUGAAAACCCCAACUUCGGGAGGGGUGUAUUUAUUAGAUAAAAAACCAACGCCCUUCGGGGCUUCUUGGUGAUUCAUGAUAACUUCACGGAUCGCAUGGCCUUGCGCCGGCGACGGUUCAUUCAAAUUUCUGCCCUAUCAACUUUCGAUGGUAAGGUAUUGGCUUACCAUGGUUUCAACGGGUAACGGGGAAUUAGGGUUCGAUUCCGGAGAGGGAGCCUGAGAAACGGCUACCACAUCCAAGGAAGGCAGCAGGCGCGCAAAUUACCCAAUCCCGACACGGGGAGGUAGUGACAAUAAAUACUGAUACAGGGCUCUUUUGGGUCUUGUAAUUGGAAUGAGUACAAUUUAAACCUCUUAACGAGGAACAAUUGGAGGGCAAGUCUGGUGCCAGCAGCCGCGGUAAUUCCAGCUCCAAUAGCGUAUAUUAAAGUUGUUGCAGUUAAAAAGCUCGUAGUUGAAACUUGGGCCUGGCUGGCAGGUCCGCCUCACCGCGUGUACUUGUCCGGCCGGGCCUUUCCUUCUGGAGAACCUCAUGCCCUUCACUGGGUGUGUUGGGGAACCAGGACUUUUACUUUGAAAAAAUUAGAGUGUUCAAAGCAGGCCUUUGCUCGAAUACGUUAGCAUGGAAUAAUAGAAUAGGACGUGCGGUCCUAUUUUGUUGGUUUCUAGGACCGCCGUAAUGAUUAAUAGGGACAGUCGGGGGCAUCAGUAUUCAAUUGUCAGAGGUGAAAUUCUUGGAUUUAUUGAAGACUAACUACUGCGAAAGCAUUUGCCAANGGAUGUUUUCAUUAAUCAGUGAACGAAAGUUAGGGGAUCGAAGACGAUCAGAUACCGUCGUAGUCUUAACCGUAAACUAUGCCGACUAGGGAUCGGGCGAUGUUCUUUUUCUGACUCGCUCGGCACCUUACGAGAAAUCAAAGUUUUUGGGUUCU